RNAcentral lists this small RNA (115 nucleotides) under Streptomyces sp. NRRL S-1521. RNAcentral's name for it is "Streptomyces-metK RNA". It matches the Rfam family "Streptomyces-metK RNA". Lineage: Bacteria; Bacillati; Actinomycetota; Actinomycetes; Kitasatosporales; Streptomycetaceae. The record is from Rfam by way of RNAcentral.
GCGAGACAUGUGGUCCGGCGGACGAGUGUGACCGAUAAACUGGUCUCGGACGAGCCGGGCGCAGCUCCCGGCAGUCCACCAAUGAUCAGCCAGCAGCCGCUGCAACCACAGGGAG